Ornithorhynchus anatinus (platypus) is the source of this 106-nucleotide small nuclear RNA. NCBI's taxonomy places the organism in Eukaryota, Metazoa, Chordata, Mammalia, Monotremata, Ornithorhynchidae. The record is from RefSeq and is a predicted model, not a curated record.
GUGCUCACUUCGGCAGUACAUUUACUAAAAUUGUGAACCAUAGAGAGAAGAUUGGCAUGUCCCCUGAGCAAGAAUGACACAAAUUUGUGAAGGGCUCCAUCUUCCC